This 1039-nucleotide long non-coding RNA is filed under the name Astyanax mexicanus (Mexican tetra). RNAcentral describes it as "lncRNA (ENSAMXG00005007268.1)". Lineage: Eukaryota; Metazoa; Chordata; Actinopteri; Characiformes; Acestrorhamphidae. The record is from RNAcentral.
GCAAGGUGAAGGUGUUUAAACUGUUUAAGCUGUUGGACAAGUGGCACGAAGACACAAUUGGCAACAAUGGGAAAUUUCUACAGCUAUGUCUACAGCUAUUUCUAUGGCGAGCAAAGUCAAUCAACAGAAGUGACAAAUUUGCAGGAGCAGCCUGCAGAGAGUCCAUCCGAAAACUUAUCUGCAAGUUCUGCAAAUGGGUGCAUUCAGAGUGAAAACAUCUCUGCAGACACACCCUUCUUUCAUAACCACAUUGACGAUGUGGACAAGAGGAACAUUUUUGUGGUCAGUGGUGGAAAAUCUGAAGAAUUUACUGUAUUCCCUGCAGAGAAGAUCUCAGUCUUACUUGAGGAGGCAUGCGCCUGGGCCGGAAAAAAGCCAGAGAAAAUGAAUCUGUUUUUUAAAGGGGAACAGCUGGAUGUGAUGAAAGCCGUGGGUGAGUGUCCCGGCCUACGAAGAGGAAGCAAAGUGCACCUAAUUUUUGCUUCCUAAAGAACUUCACACUUUGUUUUUUUAAUGUACUGAAGUAAAGUGAAGUGCUCUUCAUAGUGGGACAGAAUGCACAGGAGCCUCUCACCCGUGCAAGUCAGCCUUCAGACUCAAUAAUAAGCCCAGUAUGGUGCACAUGUGUACAUUACGCAAUGCUGCUUGUGCUUUAUGUGCUGUCUGUAUUAAAUACCUCUGCUGAUUGGCAGUUGGCAGUUAGAAAUAGAGAAUAUAGGUGAAGUAAUAGAGAGUGAAGGGCAGCACAUAGCAAAUCUCUUAUAAUUAUAAUUUUUAAUUUAGUGAUCAAUCAGAUAUCUGGUUUUCUAGCUAGGUGGGAGUACAUUGUUGACUGACAGGUGGGCAGGAGGCAGUAAAGCUGCUGCGCUCCACUUUAGAGCUCUCAGGGCUUUGGCCUGCACUUGGAUAGCUACUCACUGUCCACUGUCCUUUCUCUCUGUGCUAGCUUCGAUGGGAUCUCUUGAAAUGAGAACUGAGAAAUGUUAUUGUCAUAGUUGUAUGUACAUUACAUUUUAAAUAAUGUUUUAUAAUAAACUUG